AGAGUUUGAUCCUGGCUCAGGAUGAACGCUAGCGGCAGGCUUAACACAUGCAAGUCGAGGGGUAGAGGUUGCUUGCAACCUUGAGACCGGCGCACGGGUGCGUAACGCGUAUGCAACCUACCUUUUACAGAGGGAUAGCCCAGAGAAAUUUGGAUUAAUACCUCAUAGUAUAUAUCUUUCGCAUGUUAGGUAUAUUAAAGUUCCAACGGUAAAAGAUGGGCAUGCGUCCUAUUAGCUAGAUGGUAAGGUAACGGCUUACCAUGGCUACGAUAGGUAGGGGUCCUGAGAGGGAGAUCCCCCACACUGGUACUGAGACACGGACCAGACUCCUACGGGAGGCAGCAGUGAGGAAUAUUGGACAAUGGGCGCAAGCCUGAUCCAGCCAUGCCGCGUGCAGGAAGAAGCAUCUAUGGUGUGUAAACUGCUUUUGUACAGGAAGAAACAUCCCGACGUGUCGGGACUUGACGGUACUGUAAGAAUAAGGAUCGGCUAACUCCGUGCCAGCAGCCGCGGUAAUACGGAGGAUCCAAGCGUUAUCCGGAAUCAUUGGGUUUAAAGGGUCCGUAGGCGGUUUGGUAAGUCAGUGGUGAAAGCCCGCAGCUCAACUGUGGAACGGCCAUUGAUACUGCCAGACUUGAAUUACAAGGAAGUAACUAGAAUAUGUAGUGUAGCGGUGAAAUGCUUAGAUAUUACAUGGAAUACCAAUUGCGAAGGCAGGUUACUACUUGUGGAUUGACGCUGAUGGACGAAAGCGUGGGGAGCGAACAGGAUUAGAUACCCUGGUAGUCCAA
RNAcentral lists this ribosomal RNA (791 nucleotides) under uncultured bacterium. RNAcentral's name for it is "bacterial SSU rRNA". It matches the Rfam family "Bacterial small subunit ribosomal RNA", at positions 8 to 798 of the family's 1533-position model. The record is from RNAcentral.